Molecule: ribosomal RNA, 324 nt
Filed under: uncultured prokaryote
Description: bacterial SSU rRNA
Rfam family: Bacterial small subunit ribosomal RNA
Source: RNAcentral
AGAUUGAACGCUGGCGGCAUGCCUAACACAUGCAAGUCGAGCGGCAGCGCGGGGGCGACCCUGGUGGCGAGCGGCGGACGGGUGAGUAAGGCAUCGGAAUCUGCCCUGAUGUGGGGGAUAGCCCGGAGAAAUCCGGAUUAAUACCGCAUAUGCCCUACGGGGUAAAGCGGGGGAUCGUAAGACCUCGCGCUGGUGGAUGAGCCUACGUCCGAUUAGUUAGUUGGUGGGGUAAAGGCCUACCAAGGCUACGAUCGGUAGCUGGUCUGAGAGGACGACCAGCCACACUGGGACUGAGACACGGCCCAGACUCCUACGGGCGGCAGC